RNAcentral lists this ribosomal RNA (253 nucleotides) under uncultured bacterium. RNAcentral describes it as "partial 16S ribosomal RNA". It matches the Rfam family "Bacterial small subunit ribosomal RNA", at positions 524 to 776 of the family's 1533-position model. The record is from RNAcentral.
UACGUAGGGUGCGAGCGUUGUCCGGAAUUAUUGGGCGUAAAGAGCUCGUCGGCGGCUUGUUGCGUCGGAUGUGAAAGCCCGGGGCUUAACUCCGGGUCUGCAUUCGAUACGGGCAGGCUAGAGUUCGGUAGGGGAGAUCGGAAUUCCUGGUGUAGCGGUGAAAUGCGCAGAUAUCAGGAGGAACACCGGUGGCGAAGGCGGAUCUCUGGGCCGAUACUGACGCUGAGGAGCGAAAGCGUGGGGAGCGAACAGG